Molecule: non-coding RNA, 80 nt
Organism: Acanthosepion pharaonis
Lineage: Eukaryota; Metazoa; Mollusca; Cephalopoda; Sepiida; Sepiidae
Source: the annotation of a GenBank genome assembly
GGUUCCCGUACGAUCACCGAAGUUAAGCAAAGUCGAGCCUAGUCAGUGCCUAGAUGGGUGACCGCCUGGGAAUACUUUGU